ACCAGACCUUUGAAUAGAACAAGAAAAUUAAUCAGAUUAGAAAAUGACGAUUUUAAAACUAAGGCUAUAAAAUGAAAUAAUUAAAAGAGAUUUUUCAGCACAAAUUCAAAGAAGUUGAAACAAAAACGAUGGAAAGAAUUAUAACGAUAUUAAAAAUGACGUGAUUCAUUGAUAUUAUUUUUGUCGCAAUUAAAAAAACUCAAACACGAAUUGAAAAUUCCAUUUUGUUUUUUUUUCUCUUUUUCAAUGAAAACGCUACAGGCACAUUCAUAACGUUCAGUUUAUUGGCAUUGCUAUGUUGCUUGUUUUGUAUACGUAUUUACGCGUGAUCAUUGUGAAGAAACAUUAACAUGUUUCGGCCGGUUUCUGUUUACUCGGUCUCUCUAGCUAAAAUCAUUUCACUUGCGAUAUUUGGAUACGCUGACAAAGAGGAAUUCGACUCGGACACCGAAUCGCUCAAACAAUCCAAAAAUAAAACUUUUCGUAAUAAUGCGGGGGAGAGGCUCUUUGCAUAUACUUGCUUACGAUGGUUGUUUUUCUAUUUUAAACACACGUUGUAAAGCGAUACGGAUUUUUCACCGAUUACUCAUUUAUCCAAAGUCGCACAAAAAUAUUAUGGUACGUAACAUUAGCUCAUACGCAACGCGUUUUUUCUUCUUUUUUUUUCACAACGACAUUGGAUGCUAUUUUUAAGUAAAUUUUCAGUCAGUAAAAUCGUUUCGUUUCGAAAUAUGGCACAUUGCAAUUCCAAAUCGCGAAUGGCCACUAAAGAAGUAACUGAUCUAAAUUUAAACGCUUUUCUGAUUCAAUCGAAUGAAAUACAGAACCAACAACGAGUGACGAUUUACAGUAAAGCUGCCCAAAAAUGGGCGCCCUCGCGAUUAAAAUCAAACGAAAUAUUUGUUAUUUAUAAAUAUCUACUUUCCACUGGUGUUAUUUUUAAAUUGCUCACAUUUGUAAGGUCUUACUGUAUUUGUUCGUUUGAAAAAAUGUACAACAGCUGGCCCCAAAUUUUUCACACUGUUUUCACUUGAUUGCUGAAUCAUCUCCAGAUAAUUGUUUUCAUUGGUCAUGUUUGGGAUCACCCGACAUCAUUUUAUUGCUGUGUGAAUGUUUGCCCACUUACGAGAACGAUCAACGUUCACCAAAUGAACAUGCGCAUAUUCACAUCACUCAUGUUAACGAAAGAUAAAUGGGAAAUUCGACUAAAUCGUAAACAUUUUCAAACGAGAGAAAAUUGAAAUUCAAUGUGAAUAAAAAAGAAGAAUUAUUUCAAACUCGGCAAAAUUUUAUUAGCAACUUGGUGCGCAAAGGUUUUGCAGGUUUUAAGAUUGAUUUGUUUUGAUUCGUAAAUUAACAUUUACAUUAAGAUGAAAGGAUUGCAUUCAUUUCACAGAGAAUUCAACGUUUGAGCGUGGUGAAUAUUUGGUUGGUUAUUUAUGGUGUCGACCAAAAACUGAUUUUCUACUUUCGAAACUGAAAUCAAAAUGGUGUAAGAGAAUUCCAGAGCAAGAAUUGAAGUGUAGUUGCAUUGCUGAAAAUUGUACAAAUUGCGUAGUAGUAUACCAAUACAACUGUGCCAUCGGUCUCCGUUCUCUGGAACGCAGUGGCAUUGAUCAUGGGCAAACAAGCGGAAAGAAUGCACAAACGAGACACGACCCCAACCAGCCGAUAAAACAAUACGGGAAAAUUAAGCAAACCUGUGCAAGGAAUCAAAAAAGGGAUUUCGUUCAUUUACAAGAUAAAUACACGGAGAGAUCUCCCUGCGGAGAUGUUUAUUUAUUUAUUUUUCAUCUCCUUUUCCUCCUGGUACUUCGCCACUUUUCUCUUUAUUGUGUGAUUUUCUUAAUGUGGCCCGUUUUCUCCCUCUCUCUCUCUCUCUCUCUCUCGCUUUCUGGCAUUUGCCCUGGCUUCACUUGGCUUGGCUUGGCUUUACUCUAUUUUGUUUGCUUUUUGAAUUACUUCAAGCAUUGUGUUUUUUAUUUGCAUUCUCUUUGCUCUUCUGCUCUGACAAUCCAUGUACAAUUUUCUCGGUGCCGAUGUGAAACCAGGCGCGCAAGUGCUUUAAUUUUUCCAAAUACGCUAUACCUAAUCCCCAAUAACAUUUAAAUUGACAAACCAUUGUCAACCGCAGCACUCUUUCUAUGCGCGCAUCGACAAAUUCGGAAUUAAAAUGCCGCUUCUCGUGCUCCGCACAGUUCACAUUCUCGUUAUGACAUCAUGGAGUCUGAUUGCCGUUCGGUGUGUUCUAUUCCCACCAAUCAUUCAGAUCAGCGUUCAAAUGCUUCAAAUGAAAAUCAUUCAAUUCAGUCGUGAUUGACCUCAAAAUAGCAUGCGUUUCAUCGUGUGCGUACGCCGUCAACACGAACUUUGAGUUGCAAUUUCAAAUCCGUUCAGUUUUGUUCACAUGACAAAUGGCACAUUCAUGGUGUCCUCUCUUUGCCCACGAGCUCACCGUUCGACGGAAAAUGGCUGGUGAGGCAAAGUUGAAGUAAUUAUAAUAUACAAAAUGAGAUGUUAAGCAAUAUCAUGAAUUUUAGCAAGCAACCCGUGUGAAAAAUUUGUGACUGACUAGCCAGCCGUCUAAUUUCGGACUUUUUGGCUGACUAUCAGUAAUUAAAAGUGAUGAACAAAAUAUUCGACUGUAGUCAACUUCAGUUUAGUCAUCUAGUAGCCAAAAAGUCCGAAAUUAGACGGCUGGCUGAAAGAAUAACUAAAAGUGAUUAUUUCUACACAACAUUCUUGAAUUCAAUCAACUUAGCCAGUUUUAGUUAUUUGCAGCUACAUACAACUGAGUGACUGUCAGUCACUUUAUUUGCACACGGGAAACCAUUUUCAAAGGUUUUUUUUUGCCAAAACUUUCCAUCCUAUCGAGAUGGUAUAGUCUCCCAUUUGGCGCCUUAUUUACAUCGGGUGGGAAAUUAGCCAAAAGUUAUGCAUGGGAAAUUAGCUCAACGAUAAUUUCAGCAGUAUUUAAUCAAUCAUACAACCAAACAAUUUUUGGUCGCACUCGCAUUCGCUUCGCUUUUUUCAUGCAAAAUGCAAAUGUUUCACUGUCAAACUGUUUUUUUUUCUAUCUUAGUAUAUUAUUUGCUAAAAGAUUGCGAAUGGAAUGGAAACGCGGACGCUAGCGUAUUUUACGCACGUGCACCAGCCAGUAACGGAGUGUGUGUGUGAGAGAGAGAGAGAGAGAGAGAGAGCGGUGCACAAACAAAAAUAUGAAUUCUAUUGACCGUAAAAAGGGUUGUACAUUGAUUAGUUAGUCCGAGAGCUGGAAAUCGAAGCAAAUGCUUGCAAACAAUAAUGGAGGCGCAUCAUCGUCCAAUAGCGACAUAAACACACAAUGAAAACGCCAAAAGAAAAAUGGAAAGAAACCGAACCCAUUCCGGAUUCGUUGAUGCUAAGCAAUUUGGUUUGUGUUUAACAACACACAGACAACGGCAAAUAAAUAACAAUUGGCUUGAUGUAUACAUAGAAAACCAUCGAGAAACAUUUCGUCAACUCAAAUUCCAUCGCAUCGUGAAAACUCCAAACAGAAUGAAUAUUCCCCAAUUUGUUCACUCACGUAAUUUAAAUUCAAGACAAUUUCUCUGAGCGCAUGAAUCAAACCAAAGAAGAAGAAGAAAGACAACGUUGAAUUUAUUAAAUUGCCAAUGGUUAAAUGUAUCGAUGUGUUUCUAUUUCAAGACUUUCUCUCACUGAACCCACUGGUUCGUUUUUGUAUCCGUAAUCAUUUUAACCACAUGAUCAUUUGUUGCCGUUGUUAUGUGACGCUUUGUGGUUUUUUGCCAUUAGUUCAAAGAAUGGAGAGCGAGUAAAACUGACACAAAAUUGAUUUUAGUUUUGCAACAAUGCGUUUCUUUUUGGUUGUUGCUGUUUUUUGAGAUUUUUAAUUAGAUUUACGGAGAUUGUAAUCAAGAGUUGUUUUGGUUUAUAUAGAAAACGAAUUUGCCGAAAAGUUCCCAAUUUCAACGACGAAAUGGAAUGAUUGUUGAGCGAAUGAGAUGUCAUUCCGUUUUUUUUCUACUCCGAAUGUUUGUCUGCACAAUUUCUGAACGAAAGUGCAGCAUUGAAAUUGUGCAAUCCCAAUAAAAUUUCAAACCAUUCAUUCAUUUGAGAUUGGCUCAUCCAAAUACAGAACCGAAAAUCCAAUUCUACAAACAACAAACUAUGUCAAAUGAGUGAAUCAACUGAUUUCAUUUCUAUUUUGGAUUCAAGACUCUUCUCCACUUCCAACUACUAGAAUCACUUUGUGAAAUCAGAAUGGAGAUAAUUCGUUGGAAUGGAAGGGGGUCAUUGGCGUGUGCACAUACACUAAUUUAAGCAAUACUCUUUUCGAUUGCUGCUUUUAAUCACGUAUUGGAUGAAAAUCAGAGGCAAAACCGAAAAAGAUUUAACGAUGCUGUGUGGAAGGGCAAGCAAUAAUGAACCGAACGAAAGAGAAAUCACACAACAACAUACGUGCACAUCAAAGUGCAAAGGAAAUGAACAAAUGAAUACUUGCUGUUUAUGAUUGUUCUCCUUAUCUGGAGGCCAAAAAGACACACAAUCCCAACACAGCUCUUCUAUUUACAAAGACUUGAUAGUUGCCGCUCAAAUUGACUGUUUAAGGCUCACCGAGAGAAUUACCGGCCUCAUGAGACAGUGGGGGAAAUGGAAAAUUGAACAUGUCCAUUUGCGUUCAGCAUAAAGUAUCUUCAAGACCUGUCAAAUGUUCGGCUACUUUAAAAUAUCGCUUAGCAAUUAAAUGUUGAUUAGAUGAUGCAGCACAUAUAAUGGACAUUUGUGCAUAAAAUGGUUUGGCCAAGAAAUUGCAAUAGCAGCUCUCUCUCUCUCUCUCUCUCUCUCUCUCCCUCUUUCACUCUGCAUCACUCUGCGUGUAUGUCUAUCUAAAUGACUGAACAUAUUAAAAUCAUUCGUAGCAGUUUGGCCCUAAUGUUUAUUUAAUGAAAUUAUCCAAAAGUAAAUUUAAUAUGUGCAUCCAAUUCUCAGAGUAACAUUUAUACCACAAAUAAUUUCGAAACGAUGUAGUCACUUUUCGAUGUCGAACGGAUCAUCGAUUUAAAUCAGAGAGUGUUAUGAGCUGAUGUCAGCAGCACAUAGUGACGUCAGCUGCUGACGAGUAUGCGUUGCGUUAUUGUAACGUAUACACCGUACAAAAUUCAUAUACCACUUCAGAUUUGCCAAGGAGGAUCAGGACUUGGCAAAUCUGGAGGGGAAUAUGAAUUUUCUACUGUGGAUGCAUUACAACACCGCAACAUAUACUCGUCAGCAGCUGACGUCAAUAAGUGCUGCUGACAUCAGCUCAUAGCACGCUCUGAUUUAAAUUGACUCACUUCGAUUUUGAGCACAUGCAAUUCUAUAACAUACAGAAAUGAGCCAUUGUCAAUAGUCCACAGCUUAGGCAAUAUUGCUCAUUUUACCAGAAAGAAAAAUAAAAUCACCACCCCGUUGCGCCGAAAAUGGCAAGGUUUUUACGAACAAGUGUGUGGUAUGAAGUUUGCCUAUUGGCUGUGUGCUACUGUUACUGCACACACAACAUGAAAUAGAGAGGCAGCGUGUGUGUGUGUAACGUAGUAGCUUCAGUGCGCAGUUUUAAUGUACGCAUAAAACGUAAAAGUACUACAUUUCGUUCGCUCGUUUGGAUGAAUUCAGAAAAUGAGAAAACCAUAUGAGGUUUUGUGUAUAGUUAAUAAUAUACUACUUGUUUAACAAUUUAAUUCAAUUUACACGAUUAAUCACGAACAAAAGCGCACCAGAACUAGGAUGCACAAUCAAUGCGUAUUAAUGGAUGCGAGACAGAGAGGCAGUGAGGAAGAGAGCCAGAGUGAGAGAGCAACAUAAGAGAGAAAGUGAAGUCUCGGUGUAUAAUGUUGGAAUGAAUCAAUCGAAUUGCUGGAGAUUUUGUUCGGGUGGCUCGCCCUCGACCAACGUCAACUAUUCGGAAUCAGCAGAGAAUAAUUUUUCAAAGUUAUUUGAAAUACCAUGGAGGGUGACUCCAUGAUUUUUUCCCUACUUCUUCUUCUCCUUUUUAGCACUACAUGAAAUGUAGAGCUACUAAUCUGCUUAUAUUCUUUUUUCUUAAUACUUUUUGAGUGAUGAAACGAAUUAUGGUGAAUUUGAAUCUUAUGCUCAUAUUUUUAAUUUUUAUUUAAUUUAAAACAGGUGCAGUAACGACAAAUAAGUGCACAAUAUCUCAAAGCGCCAAUCAAAUUUUUAUUAUCAAAUGUUGUUUAAAAAUUACAUUAAUUUUUCGUAUAACAUUUUCUGAGUCUUGAACAGAAUUAAAGUGAUUUUAGAUUCUAUGCUCAUAUUAUUUAUUUAAUUUAAACCAAAGGCAGUAUAUUUCAAAAAAGAAAUUAAAUCAAGAUCUUGUAAUUCAUUUUGCAAAUAAAUAUAUUACUUCAAAGUUACUUUGAUGAAAUACAUUUCAUGUAGUGCGCCAAAAAAUAGUUUGUUGUGAAACAACAAAAUAGAUUAAGUAACUAAAAACUCAAGAACGCAGAGCGGAGCGAAGUUAACAAAUGAGCACAAUACUCAGAAUACUCAGCUCAAACAUUCUAAAUUUUAUCGCACAGAUCACUCGCCAUUUAUAAUUUUUGGCUCUUCAAAUAAUAAAUGAUGUAAUACACUUGAUCAAUACAUCAAGCCAUUUGCCGAACAGUUUUUCUCUCUCUUUCUCUCAUUUCCUUUGAAUGUGAAACGCUUGGAUUGACUCCUGCUGCCGUGUUUCUCAAAUGGGUUACUAGGCAAAAGCAAAACAACAAACACACAUUCUGCGGUUCUUGACUUCUCCCAUUUUUUAUUCAACUGGAAAAAGUUUUGAUAGCCUUAAACAAGAGCAACUUCAAAUUAACAGGUUCGUUUUUUUUUUGUUUCAACAUAUUUGAACCGGAACGGUGGUACGGUAAUUGAAGCGAAACCAUCACUUCAUUUUGAAUGUUUGCAGUCGAUUUAAUUUCAAAAAUAUUAUAGUUUUUACAAAUGUAAUGGAUCUGUCAUAUUUUAAAUAAAAUGUUUUUUGUAUCGUG
Long non-coding RNA from Sitodiplosis mosellana (orange wheat blossom midge), 7031 nucleotides. RefSeq lists it as uncharacterized. The transcript has 2 exons. The record is from RefSeq and is a predicted model, not a curated record. NCBI's taxonomy places the organism in Eukaryota, Metazoa, Arthropoda, Insecta, Diptera, Cecidomyiidae.